RNAcentral lists this transfer RNA (71 nucleotides) under Homalodisca vitripennis (glassy-winged sharpshooter). Its description in RNAcentral is "tRNA-Ala". It matches the Rfam family "tRNA". From Rfam's summary of the family: Transfer RNA (tRNA) molecules are approximately 80 nucleotides in length. Lineage: Eukaryota; Metazoa; Arthropoda; Insecta; Hemiptera; Cicadellidae. The record is from RNAcentral.
UGCUCUGUGGUGUAGUGGUAGCAUACUCACCCAGCAAGUGAGAGAUCUGGGUUCGAGUCCCGGUGGAGCAU